AGCGUACACGGUGGAUGCCCUGGCAGUCAGAGGCGAUGAAGGGCGUGCUAAUCUGCGAUAAGCGCCGGUAAGGUGAUAUGAACCGUUAUAACCGGCGAUACCCGAAUGGGGAAACCCAGUGUGACUCGUCACACUAUCAUUAACUGAAUCCAUAGGUUAAUGAGGCGAACCGGGGGAACUGAAACAUCUAAGUACCCCGAGGAAAAGAAAUCAACCGAGAUUCCCCCAGUAGCGGCGAGCGAACGGGGAGGAGCCCAGAGCCUGAAUCAGCAUGUGUGUUAGUGGAAGCGUCUGGAAAGGCGCGCGAUACAGGGUGACAGCCCCGUACACAAAAGCGCAUGUGCUGUGAGCUCGAUGAGUAGGGCGGGACACGUGGUAUCCUGUCUGAAUAUGGGGGGACCAUCCUCCAAGGCUAAAUACUCCUGACUGACCGAUAGUGAACCAGUACCGUGAGGGAAAGGCGAAAAGAACCCCGGCGAGGGGAGUGAAAAAGAACCUGAAACCGUGUACGUACAAGCAGUGGGAGCACAGGUUUACCUGUGUGACUGCGUACCUUUUGUAUAAUGGGUCAGCGACUUAUAUUCUGUAGCAAGGUUAACCGUAUAGGGGAGCCGUAGGGAAACCGAGUCUUAACCGGGCGUUAAGUUGCAGGGUAUAGACCCGAAACCCGGUGAUCUAGCCAUGGGCAGGUUGAAGGUUGGGUAACACUAACUGGAGGACCGAACCGACUAAUGUUGAAAAAUUAGCGGAUGACCUGUGGCUGGGGGUGAAAGGCUAAUCAAACCGGGAGAUAGCUGGUUCUCCCCGAAAGCUAUUUAGGUAGCGCCUCGUGAAUUCAUCUCCGGGGGUAGAGCACUGUUUCGGCUAGGGGGCCAUCCCGGCUUACCAACCCGAUGCAAACUGCGAAUACCGGAGAAUGUUAUCACGGGAGACACACGGCGGGUGCUAACGUCCGUCGUGAAGAGGGAAACAACCCAGACCGCCAGCUAAGGUCCCAAAGUCAUGGUUAAGUGGGAAACGAUGUGGGAAGGCCCAGACAGCCAGGAUGUUGGCUUAGAAGCAGCCAUCAUUUAAAGAAAGCGUAAUAGCUCACUGGUCGAGUCGGCCUGCGCGGAAGAUGUAACGGGGCUAAACCAUGCACCGAAGCUGCGGCAGCGACGCUGAUGCGUUGUUGGGUAGGGGAGCGUUCUGUAAGCCUGUGAAGGUGGCCUGUGAGGGUUGCUGGAGGUAUCAGAAGUGCGAAUGCUGACAUAAGUAACGAUAAAGCGGGUGAAAAGCCCGCUCGCCGGAAGACCAAGGGUUCCUGUCCAACGUUAAUCGGGGCAGGGUGAGUCGACCCCUAAGGCGAGGCCGAAAGGCGUAGUCGAUGGGAAACGGGUUAAUAUUCCCGUACUUGGUGUUACUGCGAAGGGGGGACGGAGAAGGCUAUGUUGGCCGGGCGACGGUUGUCCCGGUUUAAGCGUGUAGGUGUGUGUUCCAGGUAAAUCCGGUUCACUUUAACACUGAGGCGUGAUGACGAGGCACUACGGUGCUGAAGCAACAAAUGCCCUGCUUCCAGGAAAAGCCUCUAAGCAUCAGGUAACAUCAAAUCGUACCCCAAACCGACACAGGUGGUCAGGUAGAGAAUACCAAGGCGCUUGAGAGAACUCGGGUGAAGGAACUAGGCAAAAUGGUGCCGUAACUUCGGGAGAAGGCACGCUGACACGUAGGUGAAGUGAUUUACUCACGGAGCUGAAGUCAGUCGAAGAUACCAGCUGGCUGCAACUGUUUAUUAAAAACACAGCACUGUGCAAACACGAAAGUGGACGUAUACGGUGUGACGCCUGCCCGGUGCCGGAAGGUUAAUUGAUGGGGUCAGCGCAAGCGAAGCUCCUGAUCGAAGCCCCGGUAAACGGCGGCCGUAACUAUAACGGUCCUAAGGUAGCGAAAUUCCUUGUCGGGUAAGUUCCGACCUGCACGAAUGGCGUAAUGAUGGCCAGGCUGUCUCCACCCGAGACUCAGUGAAAUUGAACUCGCUGUGAAGAUGCAGUGUACCCGCGGCAAGACGGAAAGACCCCGUGAACCUUUACUAUAGCUUGACACUGAACAUUGAGCCUUGAUGUGUAGGAUAGGUGGGAGGCUUUGAAGUGUGGACGCCAGUCUGCAUGGAGCCGACCUUGAAAUACCACCCUUUAAUGUUUGAUGUUCUAACGUGGACCCGUGAUCCGGGUUGCGGACAGUGUCUGGUGGGUAGUUUGACUGGGGCGGUCUCCUCCUAAAGAGUAACGGAGGAGCACGAAGGUUGGCUAAUCCUGGUCGGACAUCAGGAGGUUAGUGCAAUGGCAUAAGCCAGCUUGACUGCGAGCGUGACGGCGCGAGCAGGUGCGAAAGCAGGUCAUAGUGAUCCGGUGGUUCUGAAUGGAAGGGCCAUCGCUCAACGGAUAAAAGGUACUCCGGGGAUAACAGGCUGAUACCGCCCAAGAGUUCAUAUCGACGGCGGUGUUUGGCACCUCGAUGUCGGCUCAUCACAUCCUGGGGCUGAAGUAGGUCCCAAGGGUAUGGCUGUUCGCCAUUUAAAGUGGUACGCGAGCUGGGUUUAGAACGUCGUGAGACAGUUCGGUCCCUAUCUGCCGUGGGCGCUGGAGAACUGAGGGGGGCUGCUCCUAGUACGAGAGGACCGGAGUGGACGCAUCACUGGUGUUCGGGUUGUCAUGCCAAUGGCACUGCCCGGUAGCUAAAUGCGGAAGAGAUAAGUGCUGAAAGCAUCUAAGCACGAAACUUGCCCCGAGAUGAGUUCU
The sequence is a ribosomal RNA, 2777 nucleotides long. It matches the Rfam family "Bacterial large subunit ribosomal RNA".